Molecule: ribosomal RNA, 329 nt
Filed under: uncultured eukaryote
Lineage: Eukaryota
Description: partial 18S ribosomal RNA
Rfam family: Eukaryotic small subunit ribosomal RNA
Source: RNAcentral
CCCUUAGAUGUUCUGGGCCGCACGCGCGCUACACUGAUGCAUUCAACGAGUCUAAAACCUGCUCUGAUAGGGGUGGGUAAUCUUUUGAAUGUGCAUCGUGAUUGGGAUAGAUGAUUGCAAUUUUUCAUCUUCAACGAGGAAUGCCUAGUAAACGCAAGUCAUCAGCUUGCAUUGAUUACGUCCCUGCCCUUUGUACACACCGCCCGUCGCUCCUACCGAUUGAAUGAUCCGAUGAAUAUCAUGGAUUGAGGAUGUAAGCAGGUUCGCCUGUCUUCAUCUUCGAGAAGUGAAGUAAAUUUUAUCAUUUAGAGGAAGGAGAAGUCGUAACA